UACGUAGGGUGCGAGCGUUAAUCGGAUUUACUGGGCGUAAAGCGUGCGCAGGCGGCCCGUUAAGACAGGUGUGAAAUCCCUGGGCUCAACCUAGGAAUUGCGCUUGUGACUGGCGGGCUCGAGUACGGUAGAGGGGGGUUGAAUUCCUGGUGUAGCAGUGAAAUGCGUAGAGAUCAGGAGGAACACCGAUGGCGAAGGCAGCCCCCUGGGCCUGUACUGACGCUCAUGCACGAAAGCGUGGGGAGCAAACAGG
RNAcentral lists this ribosomal RNA (253 nucleotides) under uncultured microorganism. RNAcentral's name for it is "partial 16S ribosomal RNA". It matches the Rfam family "Bacterial small subunit ribosomal RNA", at positions 524 to 776 of the family's 1533-position model. The record is from RNAcentral.